This 64-nucleotide transfer RNA is filed under the name Aquatica wuhana. RNAcentral's name for it is "tRNA-Ala". Lineage: Eukaryota; Metazoa; Arthropoda; Insecta; Coleoptera; Lampyridae. The record is from RNAcentral.
AGGAUAAUAGUUAAAAUUAACAUUUAAUUUGCACUUAAAAAAUAUUGUUCAUCAAUUUAUCUUA